This 480-nucleotide ribosomal RNA is filed under the name uncultured bacterium. RNAcentral describes it as "bacterial SSU rRNA". It matches the Rfam family "Bacterial small subunit ribosomal RNA", at positions 24 to 518 of the family's 1533-position model. The record is from RNAcentral.
UCAGGAUGAACGCUGGCGGCGUGCUUAACACAUGCAAGUCGAACGAUUAAAGCCCUCUCGGAGGGUGUAUAGAGUGGCGAACGGGUGAGUAACACGUGGGCAAUCUGCCCUCCACUUCGGGAUAACCCUUGGAAACGAGAGCUAAUACCGAAUACUCCGUCUAGGUCGCAUGGCCUGGUCGGGAAAGCUCCGGCGGUGGAGGAUGAGCCCGCGGUCCAUUAGCUAGUUGGUGAGGUAACGGCCCACCAAGGCUACGAUGGAUAGCCGAGCUGAGAGGCUGAUCGGCCACACUGGGACUGAGACACGGCCCAGACUCCUACGGGAGGCAGCAGUGGGGAAUUUUGCGCAAUGGGCGAAAGCCUGAACCGCAGCAACGCCGCGUGCGGGACGAAGGCCUUCGGGUUGUAAACCGCUUUCAGCAGGGACGAAACUGACUGUACCUGCAGAAGAAGCUCCGGCUAACUACGUGCCAGCCGCCGC